RNAcentral lists this ribosomal RNA (253 nucleotides) under uncultured bacterium. Its description in RNAcentral is "partial 16S ribosomal RNA". It matches the Rfam family "Bacterial small subunit ribosomal RNA", at positions 524 to 776 of the family's 1533-position model. The record is from RNAcentral.
UACGGGGGGAGCAAGCGUUGUUCGGAUUUACUGGGCGUAAAGCGCGCGUAGGCGGCUUUUCAAGUCGAUUGUGAAAUCCCCGGGCUUAACCUGGGAACUGCAGUCGAGACUGUCUAGCUAGAGUAUGGGAGAGGGAAGUGGAAUUUCAGGUGUAGCGGUGAAAUGCGUAGAUAUCUGAAGGAACAUCAGUGGCGAAAGCGACUUCCUGGACCAAUACUGACGCUCAUGUGCGAAAGCGUGGGGAGCAAACAGG